RNAcentral lists this non-coding RNA (111 nucleotides) under Saccharomonospora xinjiangensis. RNAcentral describes it as "TPP sequence". It matches the Rfam family "TPP riboswitch aptamer (THI element)". From Rfam's summary of the family: Vitamin B(1) in its active form thiamin pyrophosphate (TPP) is an essential coenzyme that is synthesised by coupling of pyrimidine and thiazole moieties in bacteria. The previously detected thiamin-regulatory element, thi box was extended, resulting in a new, highly conserved RNA secondary structure, the THI element, which is widely distributed in eubacteria and also occurs in some archaea. Lineage: Bacteria; Bacillati; Actinomycetota; Actinomycetes; Pseudonocardiales; Pseudonocardiaceae. The record is from RNAcentral.
GCACGCUGCCACGGGAGUCCGGCGCGCCGGGCUGAGAGGUGGGCACGCGGCCCACGACCGUCCGCACCUGAUUCGGAUCAUGCCGACGCAGGAAGGUGUACGGCAGCUUCC